Molecule: ribosomal RNA, 834 nt
Filed under: Flavobacteriales bacterium 15-05PB
Lineage: Bacteria; Pseudomonadati; Bacteroidota; Flavobacteriia; Flavobacteriales
Description: bacterial SSU rRNA
Rfam family: Bacterial small subunit ribosomal RNA
Source: RNAcentral
UCUUCGGAUUCUAGAGAGCGGCGUACGGGUGCGUAACACGUGUGCAACCUACCUUUAUCUGGGGGAUAGCCUUUCGAAAGGAAGAUUAAUACCCCAUAAUAUAUUGAAUGGCAUCAUUUGAUAUUGAAAACUCCGGUGGAUAGAGAUGGGCACGCGCAAGAUUAGAUAGUUGGUGAGGUAACGGCUCACCAAGUCAAUGAUCUUUAGGGGGCCUGAGAGGGUGAUCCCCCACACUGGUACUGAGACACGGACCAGACUCCUACGGGAGGCAGCAGUGAGGAAUAUUGGACAAUGGGUGAAAGCCUGAUCCAGCCAUCCCGCGUGAAGGAUGACGGCCCUACGGGUUGUAAACUUCUUUUGUAUAGGAAUAAACCUAGAUACGUGUAUCUAGCUGAAGGUACUAUACGAAUAAGCACCGGCUAACUCCGUGCCAGCAGCCGCGGUAAUACGGAGGGUGCAAGCGUUAUCCGGAUUUAUUGGGUUUAAAGGGUCCGUAGGCGGACCUGUAAGUCAGUGGUGAAAUCUCGCAGCUUAACUGUGAAACUGCCAUUGAUACUGCAGGUCUUGAGUGAAUUUGAGGUAGCUGGAAUAAGUAGUGUAGCGGUGAAAUGCAUAGAUAUUACUUAGAACACCAAUUGCGAAGGCAGGUUACCAAGAUUCAACUGACGCUGAGGGACGAAAGCGUGGGGAGCGAACAGGAUUAGAUACCCUGGUAGUCCACGCUGUAAACGAUGCUAACUCGUUUUUGGGCUUUCGGGCUCAGAGACCAAGCGAAAGUGAUAAGUUAGCCACCUGGGGAGUACGUUCGCAAGAAUGAAACUCAAAGGAAUUGAC